UACAGAGACUGCAAGCGUUAUUCGGAUUCACUGGGCGUAAAGGGUGCGCAGGCGGCUAUGUGUGUGAGGUGUGAAAGCCCGGGGCUUAACCCCGGAAAUGCGCCUCAAACUACAUGGCUAGAGCAUUGGAGAGGGUAGCGGAAUUCAUGGUGUAGCAGUGAAAUGCGUAGAUAUCAUGAGGAACACCAGAGGCGAAGGCGGCUACCUGGACAAUUGCUGACGCUCAGGCACGAAAGCGUGGGGAGCAAAAGGGAUUAGAAACCCCCGUAGUCC
This 273-nucleotide ribosomal RNA is filed under the name uncultured bacterium. RNAcentral describes it as "partial 16S ribosomal RNA". It matches the Rfam family "Bacterial small subunit ribosomal RNA", at positions 524 to 796 of the family's 1533-position model. The record is from RNAcentral.